Molecule: ribosomal RNA, 446 nt
Filed under: uncultured bacterium
Lineage: Bacteria
Description: SSU rRNA
Rfam family: Bacterial small subunit ribosomal RNA
Source: RNAcentral
AGAGCGAACGCUGGCGGCAGGCCUAACACAUGCAAGUCGAGCGCCGUAGCAAUACGGAGCGGCAGACGGGAGAGUAACACGUGGGAACGUACCCUUUGGUUCGGAACAACCCAGGGAAACUUGGGCUAAUACCGAAUAAGCCCUUACGGGGAAAGAUUUAUCGCCGAAGGAUCGGCCCGCGUCUGAUUAGCUAGUUGGUGGGGUAACGGCCCACCAAGGCGACGAUCAGUAGCUGGUCUGAGAGGAUGAUCAGCCUCAUUGGGACUGAGACACGGCCCAAACUCCUACGGGAGGCAGCAGUGGGGAAUAUUGGACAAUGAGCGCAAGCCUGAUCCAGCCAUGCCGCGUGGGUGAUGAAGGCCCUAGGGUUGUAAAGCCCUUUCGGCGGGGAAGAUAAUGACGGUACCCGCAGAAGAAGCCCCGGCUAACUUCGUGCCAGCAGCCGC